This 271-nucleotide ribosomal RNA is filed under the name uncultured bacterium. Its description in RNAcentral is "partial 16S ribosomal RNA". It matches the Rfam family "Bacterial small subunit ribosomal RNA", at positions 524 to 794 of the family's 1533-position model. The record is from RNAcentral.
UACGGAGACUGCGAGCGUUACUCGGAUUUACUGGGCGUAAAGGGUCCGUAGGCGGCCAUGUGUGUCGGGUGUGAAAUCCUGCAGCUUAACUGUAGACUUGCGCCCGAAACUACAUGGCUAGAGUAUUAGAGAGGUGAGUGGAAUUCCUGGUGUAGCGGUGAAAUGCGUAGAUAUCAGGAGGAACACCAACGGCGAAGGCAGCUCACUGGACAAUUACUGACGCUGAGGGACGAAAGUGUGGGGAGCAAAAGGGAUUAGAUACCCGGGUAGU